This 373-nucleotide ribosomal RNA is filed under the name uncultured organism. RNAcentral's name for it is "partial 16S ribosomal RNA". It matches the Rfam family "Bacterial small subunit ribosomal RNA", at positions 527 to 896 of the family's 1533-position model. The record is from RNAcentral.
GUAGGGUCCAAGCGUUAAUCGGAAUUACUGGGCGUAAAGCGUGCGCAGGCGGUUGUGCAAGACCGAUGUGAAAUCCCCGGGCUUAACCUGGGAAUUGCAUUGGUGACUGCACGGCUAGAGUGUGUCAGAGGGGGGUAGAAUUCCACGUGUAGCAGUGAAAUGCGUAGAGAUGUGGAGGAAUACCGAUGGCGAAGGCAGCCCCCUGGGAUAACACUGACGCUCAUGCACGAAAGCGUGGGGGGAGCAAACAGGAUUAGAUACCCUGGUAGUCCACGCCCCUAAACGAUGUCAACUAGUUGUUGGGGAUUCCAUUUCCUUAGUAACGUAGCUAACGCGUGAAGUUGACCGCCCUGGGAGUACGGUCGCAAGAUUA